GAUUCAUGUAUACUAUGCACAUGGAGAAGAUCUUCCGACCUUUGUUCGGAGAUGUUACUGGCUACUAGACAAGUCUCUGGAACACAUAGUCCUUGUUCAUUAUCGAGAAACUCAGGAGACACGGGGCGCCCCAGAGACCUCUGUUGCCAAGAGUUCUCCAGCUACCCCAGUUAAUUCUAGUUCAAGUUCAGAUCCAUCUGACCCAUCUGGUUGGAUUUUAUCAGAAGAAUGUAAUUCCGUAGAUGAACAAGCGUAUGGUGCCAGCCAACAUGCAAAUUUAGAGCCUAACAGGGAUAUGACCGCCAAAACCCAUGAACAGAGACUUCUUGAGAUUAAUACACUCGACUGGGAUGAGCUUUUGGCACCCAACGAUCCUAACAAGCUAAUGGCAACUCAAGAAGUGGGAGGAAGAGCUUCAGUUGGGCAACAGAGUCAAUGUGAAG
Molecule: unclassified non-coding RNA, 443 nt
Filed under: Hevea brasiliensis (rubber tree)
Lineage: Eukaryota; Viridiplantae; Streptophyta; Magnoliopsida; Malpighiales; Euphorbiaceae
Source: RNAcentral